RNAcentral lists this ribosomal RNA (459 nucleotides) under uncultured bacterium. RNAcentral describes it as "partial 16S ribosomal RNA". It matches the Rfam family "Bacterial small subunit ribosomal RNA", at positions 338 to 795 of the family's 1533-position model. The record is from RNAcentral.
CCUACGGGAGGCAGCAGUGAGGAAUAUUGGUCAAUGGCCGUAAGGCUGAACCAGCCAAGUAGCGUGAGGGAAGACUGCCCUAUGGGUUGUAAACCUCUUUUAUGCGGGGAUAAAGGUGUCCACGUGUGGAUGUUUACAGGUACCGCAUGAAUAAGGACCGGCUAAUUCGGUGCCAGCAGCCGCGGUAAUACGGAAGGUCCGGGGGUUAUCCGGCUUUAUUGGGUUUAAGGGGAGCGUAGGCGGACUGUUAAGUCAGCGGUAAAAGCCCGGGGCUCAACCCCGGCGAGCAGUUGAAACUGGCUGUCUUGAGAUGUCGUGAGGUAGGCGGAAUGCGCAGUGUAGCGGUGAAAUGCUUAGAUAUUGCGCAGAACUCCGAUUGCGAAGGCAGCAUACCGGCGGCGAUCUGACGCUGAGGCACGAAAGCGUGGGUAUCGAACAGGAUUAGAUACCCUUGUAGUC